This 107-nucleotide small nucleolar RNA is filed under the name Ricinus communis (castor bean). Its description in RNAcentral is "Plant small nucleolar RNA R71". It matches the Rfam family "Plant small nucleolar RNA R71". From Rfam's summary of the family: R71 is a member of the C/D box family of snoRNAs containing the C (UGAUGA) and D (CUGA) box motifs. Multiple nearly identical copies of this snoRNA have been identified in Arabidopsis, and it is thought to function as a 2'-O-ribose methylation guide for 18S ribosomal RNA. The record is from Rfam by way of RNAcentral. Lineage: Eukaryota; Viridiplantae; Streptophyta; Magnoliopsida; Malpighiales; Euphorbiaceae.
AGACCAUUAUGUGGAUAGCUCCUCAAUAAAUUCUUGAACCGUUCUUAACAAUCAUACAAAGUUUCAUUCUCUUGCUGAAGAAAUCAUGGUAUAUCAUUCCUCAACUU